GCAUUGGUGGUUCAAUGGUAGCAUUCCUGUUUACUUUGUAGGAGAUCUGGGUUCAAUUCCCAGCCAUUGCA
Alligator mississippiensis (American alligator) is the source of this 71-nucleotide transfer RNA. It matches the Rfam family "tRNA". Rfam says of the family: Transfer RNA (tRNA) molecules are approximately 80 nucleotides in length. The record is from Rfam. NCBI's taxonomy places the organism in Eukaryota, Metazoa, Chordata, Crocodylia, Alligatoridae.